Molecule: long non-coding RNA, 446 nt
Organism: Solanum verrucosum
Lineage: Eukaryota; Viridiplantae; Streptophyta; Magnoliopsida; Solanales; Solanaceae
Exons: 2
Source: RefSeq, a predicted model, not a curated record
AAAAACUUCAAAGAUUACAGCAAUUUUUUUGGUAGUACCACUACUAUAAAAGCAGCCUCUUGUUUUAUAUUUAUUGCAUUAACAACAUCACUCAAAUUCCUUUUUAGUCUUUGUCACCCUUGGUGGUUUUAAUUAAUCAAGAAGAAAAUGAUGGGAUUUGAGAGAUUGAUGGUGAAUUUGAAGACGAAACUGAGGAGGUCCUUUAAAAUGAAGGAAUCAUACGACAAGAUUGAGAAGAGUGAAAGCAUGAGAGUGGAGAUUAGGAGCAAGAAGGCUCGUAAGCUUAUUGAACAGACUCUUAAAAUUGCUGAUUCCCCCAAAUCCCGAAACUAUCCUUUCUAGUAAUCUGUUUAGUAUCUUGUAAUGACAAAAUUAAUCCCAACUUUCAUAAGAAAUCAAAUUAUAUGCAGAAGUUUAGUGGAAUCUCUAUCUUCUUCUCAUUCUAA